UACGUAGGGUGCAAGCGUUAAUCGGAAUUACUGGGCGUAAAGCGUGCGCAGGCGGUUAUGUAAGACAGGGGGGAAAUCCCCGGGCUUAACCUGGGAACUGCAUUUGUGACUGCAUAGCUAGAGUACGGCAGAGGGGGAUGGAAUUCCGCGUGUAGCAGUGAAAUGCGUAGAUAUGCGGAGGAACACCGAUGGCGAAGGCAAUCCCCUGGGCCUGUACUGACGCUCAUGCACGAAAGCGUGGGGAGCAAACAGG
Molecule: ribosomal RNA, 253 nt
Filed under: uncultured bacterium
Lineage: Bacteria
Description: partial 16S ribosomal RNA
Rfam family: Bacterial small subunit ribosomal RNA
Source: RNAcentral